Cricetulus griseus (Chinese hamster) is the source of this 1592-nucleotide non-coding RNA. Lineage: Eukaryota; Metazoa; Chordata; Mammalia; Rodentia; Cricetidae. The record is from RefSeq and is a predicted model, not a curated record.
UGCAGCAUCAUGGAGCCUUCCCUGGAAGAGAAGAGAAGGGUGAGAAGUCAUAUGUGAGCAGCCUGGCACCCCAAGAUUUGAUAAUUUAUUUAUUUUAUAUACAUUGGUGUUCACCUGCAAGUCUGUCUGUGAGGAGGACUCAGAUAUCCUAGAAGAGGAGCUACAGACAGCUGUGAGCUGCCAGGCUGAAGUGGCAGCAGGACCCAGGUGGCUGGCGGGAAAGAGUACUCGUAACAUAACGGCGCCCAACAUGAAGCGCCAACUGAAGAUGCGCUGACCCAACAGAAAGAGCAUGCAAAGGAAAGCCAACCUCAAGCUCCUCUGCUUCUGUCCACUUGAAGCCACACCCAAAGGGGUGUGGCCGCCACUUCAGGUCCACAGACCAGAUGUCUACACAUAAACAAACAAAAAAGGCGACUGUUGGGCUGGGGAGAUGGUCAGUUGGUGAGACCCUUGUCAUACAAGCGUGAGAACCUGGGUUUGACUCCCCAGAGCACACAUGAAGCUAGGAGCAGUGGUGUCUAUCUGCAAUUCCAGUGCUUCUGCGGAAAGGUAGGAAGUAGACACGGGGAUUCUAGGCUGUUCUCAGGCAGCAGCAAGAAACAACACACCCUGUCAGAGGAAGUGGAAGAAGUACCUGCAUCUGCUCUCAGAAAUGUACAAUCAAAAAAGUUUUUAAUGCAGAAGUAAAAAGAACCAACCUACAAAAUACAAGUUACAGCAUGCUGAACAUUGAAAUGAGGACUCAGCACAUGCUAGGCAAAUGCUCUACCAUGGAUGGAAGGAUGAAUGCUAGAGAUAACCCACUGAGUCCAGUUACUGCAUAUGUGCGUGGGUGUGGGCCAUCCACCAUGGCAUGGGAAUCCUACCAGUGGCCACAUCCUCAAAGAAUGCAUUAAUCCGGGCUUCAGAAGACUUAGAACAGCUGUUCUCAAUAGAGUCACCGACAAACCUGCUGGGAAAACAGCAGACAAGGAAGACAGCUGUGUGGCUGCUGAGGCCAAGGAAGGCCAGAGAUCAGCAGGAGCUGCCAAGGCCACGAACCUGCAAAGAGGGGCUCUUCCCCAGAGAUGUCAGUGGGAGCAUGGCCUGCAGGCAUCUUGAUGAGAGUCCCAUCUUGUCUCCAAUGCUGGAGGAGAGAAACACAUUUCUGUUGGAAAGAAGGGAGGGAGGGGGGUAGGAGGAAGGAAAGGAGGGGCAUAGUCCUAGGGCAAGAAAAUGGAAGUCGAAUGGCUGACAAGCACCAAACAUGAACAAAACAUUGUUAAAACAAAAAGUUAUCUGAGUAGGUGGUAUAACUCUGUGGAUAUGACCCCAGUACUUAGGAGGCUGAAGGAGCAGUGUUUGAGGCUAGCCUGAGCUACAUAUGGAGACCUGUCCCAAUGAUUUAUAAAUAAUAACAGCAAGAAUAACAAAAAGCUGAGAAGCCGGUGGACAAAGGCACUUUCUGCCAAGUCUGGUGACCUGAAUCCGAUCCUUGGGUCCCACAGUGUAGAAGGAGGGAACACCCUCUCAGAAGUUGUCCUCUAAUCGACAAAUAGGUGCUAUGACACCACACACCCACCCUCCAAUAAAUAAAUAGAUUUUUUAAA